This 63-nucleotide transfer RNA is filed under the name Dermacentor niveus. RNAcentral describes it as "tRNA-Asp". Lineage: Eukaryota; Metazoa; Arthropoda; Arachnida; Ixodida; Ixodidae. The record is from RNAcentral.
AAAAAACUAGUUAAAAAAAAAUAACAAAAGAAUGUCAUUCUUUAAUUACUUAGGUGUUUUUUA